Molecule: ribosomal RNA, 253 nt
Filed under: uncultured bacterium
Lineage: Bacteria
Description: partial 16S ribosomal RNA
Rfam family: Bacterial small subunit ribosomal RNA
Source: RNAcentral
UACGGGGGGGGCAAGCGUUGUUCGGAAUUACUGGGCGUAAAGGGCUCGUAGGCGGCCAACUAAGUCGGACGUGAAAUCCCCAGGCUCAACCUGGGAACUGCGUCCGAUACUGGAUGGCUUGAAUCCGGGAGAGGGAUGCAGAAUUCCAGGUGUAGCAGUGAAAUGCGUAGAGAUGCGGAGGAACACCGAUGGCGAAGGCAGCCCCCUGGGCUAGCACUGACGCUCAGGCACGAAAGCGUGGGGAGCAAACAGG